Molecule: ribosomal RNA, 305 nt
Filed under: uncultured bacterium
Lineage: Bacteria
Description: partial 16S ribosomal RNA
Rfam family: Bacterial small subunit ribosomal RNA
Source: RNAcentral
ACAGCAGUAGCCGCGGUAAUACGUAGGGUGCAAGCGUUAAUCGGAAUUACUGGGCGUAGAGCGCACGUAGGCUGCUUUGUAAGUUGGAGGUGAAAGCCUGGUGCUCAACACCAGAACUGCCUUUAAGACUGCAGAGCUAGAACGUCGGAGAGGUGAGUGGAAUUCCGAGUGUAGAGGUGGAAUUCGUAGAUAUUCGGAAGAACACCAGUGGCGAAGGCGGCUCACUGGACGACUGUUGACGCUGAGGUGCGAAAGCGUGGGGAGCAAACAGGAUUAGAUACCCCAGUAGUCCCUGUCUCUUAUAC